GGAAUCUUGCGCAAUGGGCGAAAGCCUGACGCAGCGACACCGCGUGGAGGAAGAAGGCCCUAGGGCUGUAAACUCCUUUUCUUGGGGAAGAGAACGGACGGUACCUAAGGAAUAAGGAUCGGCUAACUACGUGCCAGCAGCCGCGGUAAUACGUAGGAUCUGAGCGUUGUACGGAUUUACUGGGCGUAAAGGGUGCGUAGGCGGUUCGUUAAGUCUCAUGUGAAAUCUCCUGGCUUAACUGGGAGGGGUCAUGGGAUACUGGCGAACUUGAGGUCAGUAGAGGAGAGCGGAAUUCCCGGAGUAGCGGUGAUAUGCGUAGAUACCGGGAGGAACACCAGAGGCGAAGGCGGCUCUCUGGGCUGAAUCUGACGCUGAUGCAUGAAAGCGUGGGGAGCAAAC
Molecule: ribosomal RNA, 399 nt
Filed under: uncultured bacterium
Lineage: Bacteria
Description: bacterial SSU rRNA
Rfam family: Bacterial small subunit ribosomal RNA
Source: RNAcentral